AAAGAGACCUAGUACAAAGCAGAAGGAAACUAAAGCCGAGUACAAAUUAAAAGGUCAAUUACAGGCAAAAGUAAGAAAUCUCUCAAACUAGACUAGGUUCGGGAAUGGGCUAUUAGCUCAGUUGGUUAGAGCGCACCCCUGAUAAGGGUGAGGUCUCUGGUUCAAAUCCAGAAUGGCCCAUCUAACCCCAACCAAAGUGGGGGUAUAGCUCAGCUGGUAGAGCGCCUGCUUUGCAAGCAGGAUGUCAGCGGUUCGAGUCCGCUUAUCUCCACUACCGAGAAACACAGCACCAGCUAAAAAAGCUGAAUGCUGGAGUCAUCUCCAGUAUCGCACCUUGAAAACUGCAUAAACAAAACAACAACCAAGAUGUAGGUGAAAGUAUUAAUAGAGCGAGAGCAAAAUUAAUAAAAGUAGCAGACAAAAGAAUCAAGCCAAAGAAACAAGU
This 445-nucleotide transfer RNA is filed under the name Anagnostidinema pseudacutissimum CCALA 142. Its description in RNAcentral is "partial 16S-23S ribosomal RNA intergenic spacer". The stretch from base 107 to 180 matches the Rfam family "tRNA". Lineage: Bacteria; Bacillati; Cyanobacteriota; Cyanophyceae; Coleofasciculales; Wilmottiaceae. RNAcentral also lists the same sequence under 1 other name. The record is from RNAcentral.